AAAAGGGUGUACGAAUACGGAUUUUGUAUACUGUAUGUUAAUAAUUCUUUAGCAAUUUUGUGGAAAACAAUGAAUUUUUGGAAACACUUAUAUUUCUGCAAUAUGUUUUCGUUCAUAUAGACUUUCCUCUAGCCCCAAUAUAUACUACGUUUAUGCUUCAUUUUUACUCGGUUAUAUUCUACAUGGGUAAAGCCUAUAAGCAUAAACGGCAAAUACUCUACUCGAGGUAAAUUCUGAAUUGAAUUCAAUUGAGGGCUACCACGUAUUAUAAAUAUGUCCGUAUUUUCCAGAUAUAAGGGGUGUGCGGCAUAAAUCGGUUGAGAAGUGUUCGGGCAGAAAUGCACGAGCAAAACUGACCAAUGACCGACCCGGUUUUUCUACGAAAACCGACUACCCACUCGUCGAUGUUUUUUGCAAAAACCGGUUUUCGCUACACCAUCCGACUAUCCACAGUGCCACGGAUGGGCCGCAAAAAAAAAAAAAACGCUGCCAAAAAGUAACCAAUAACCAGUUACUGUAGUACUACACAGUACCAGGCGUUUGCCGCAAAAAUGCGGUAGUAAGUGGGGUAGGGGUUUUCAUUUCAUGAUUUGACGUUCAACUUAACUCUAAAUCCGUUUAUGCAUCCGAGUUAACUCGUCUACAUACGUAAAGAAAAUGUGUAUAUUCUAUCCGAGUAGAUCAUCUCGUGGUGAAAAAUUGUAUAGGUAUGUGGGUUGAACUUAGCCGUGUAUAAUAUAACCGAGUAGAAAUGAAGCAUAAACGUAGUAAUAGUAAUGCAAUCGGUUUAGACCUUGGCAAUAUAGUUAAGUGAUAAUAUUUUGAUAUAUUUCAAUGCGCAUAGUCUAACUACGGGGGAAUGUAAGGCAUUACAAGUAGCAAUCCGUUACUAAGUGAAUUGCGUUGCCAACGGCAAUCGGAAUUCUAAAAAGUGUUGUACUGUUUUUCCGUUCACAGAUUUCCAAGAGAUUUUACAUUACUAAUCGAUAUAAAAUGGAACAUGAUGAUUGUGGAAAACACUAGCAAAGUGCUCAAAAUAGACUGAGCACGAGCAACUGUUCACAUGAGAUGGUGAAUUUCCAUAUCCCAGUACUUCUGCAUGGACUAAUUCUGAAUUGGGUGUACCAGCGGUGAAAUAAUAAAGGGGAUUUGACAUCAUACUUAAACAGUUUUGUUAAGCUGUAUAUUGCAGGUUGGACGGAAUUAAUACGUGAACAUAAAAUUAAAAAUAUUUAAAAAAUUUCUAAAAUAGUAAACCGAAUUUUUCAUUACCUUAUGUAUAUAUUAUGGUGCUCUUUUUGCGCUCCUUGUUUGUGCAUGUUAGUGACACUCAACGUGUUGCAUGUAUAAUUCUCUAUCUGUCUUUCCGCGCAAACGAUAACUAGUGUAAUAAUUUAU
Zeugodacus cucurbitae (melon fly) is the source of this 1398-nucleotide long non-coding RNA. RefSeq lists it as uncharacterized. NCBI's taxonomy places the organism in Eukaryota, Metazoa, Arthropoda, Insecta, Diptera, Tephritidae. The transcript is spliced from 3 exons. The record is from RefSeq and is a predicted model, not a curated record.